RNAcentral lists this non-coding RNA (107 nucleotides) under unclassified sequences. RNAcentral's name for it is "Flavo-1 RNA". It matches the Rfam family "Flavo-1 RNA". RNAcentral also lists the same sequence under 1 other name. The record is from RNAcentral.
UUUUAGCCCCGAUUGAAGUGGAAAUCCUUUACUGUUUUUGGAAAAAGCCCUUCGACUGCGCUCAGGGUGACAAACAGUAAAGAUUGUAACGCAAAGCGGGAAAAUGG